UGUCCGGGCCGGCUCGGGCCCUGUCCGGGCCGGCUCGGACCUGGUCCGGCGCCGGUUCGGCCCGGUUCGGAUCCGGUUCGUACGGCC
RNAcentral lists this transfer RNA (87 nucleotides) under Kitasatospora xanthocidica. Its description in RNAcentral is "tRNA-Pro". Lineage: Bacteria; Bacillati; Actinomycetota; Actinomycetes; Kitasatosporales; Streptomycetaceae. The record is from RNAcentral.